Molecule: ribosomal RNA, 431 nt
Filed under: uncultured bacterium
Lineage: Bacteria
Description: partial 16S ribosomal RNA
Rfam family: Bacterial small subunit ribosomal RNA
Source: RNAcentral
AACGAACGCUGGCGGCAUGCCUAACACAUGCAAGUCGAACGAGACCUUCGGGUCUAGUGGCGCACGGGUGCGUAACGCGUGGGAACCUGCCCUUAGGUUCGGAAUAACUCCCCGAAAGGGGUGCUAAUACCGGAUAAUGUCUUCGGACCAAAGAUUUAUCGCCUUUGGAUGGGCCCGCGUUGGAUUAGCUAGUUGGUAGGGUAAAAGCCUACCAAGGCGACGAUCCAUAGCUGGUCUGAGAGGAUGAUCAGCCACACUGGGACUGAGACACGGCCCAGACUCCGACGGGAGGCAGCAGUGGGGAAUAUUGGACAAUGGGCGAAAGCCUGAUCCAGCAAUGCCGCGUGAGUGAUGAAGGCCUUAGGGUUGUAAAGCUCUUUUACCCGGGAUGAUAAUGACAGUACCGGGAGAAUAAGCUCCGGCUAACUCCG